Molecule: ribosomal RNA, 315 nt
Filed under: Triticum aestivum (bread wheat)
Lineage: Eukaryota; Viridiplantae; Streptophyta; Magnoliopsida; Poales; Poaceae
Description: partial small subunit ribosomal RNA
Source: RNAcentral
AUGAGCUGGAACGUGCGAGGGUUGAACUCGCCAGCCAGGAGAGCCACGGUCUGCGAGGUUGCAGACGCACACAGGCUGGUCGUGUUGUGCCUCCAGGAGAGCAAAAUAGAAUCAUGGUCGCCGGCGUUGGUAAAAGAAAUAGGAGGUAGCCGUUUAGACGCCGCCGCGGUCCUGCCAGCGGACGGCACAAGAGGCGGGGCUGCGAUCUUGUGGGACUCCUCCAAGAUCACCAUCGCCACUAGUGCGAUCGGCCAGUUUUCCAUCACAGCCCACGCAACAUUGCUGCAGAACAGCAACAAGUUCUGGAUUACCACC